Trachemys scripta elegans is the source of this 670-nucleotide long non-coding RNA. RefSeq lists it as uncharacterized. Lineage: Eukaryota; Metazoa; Chordata; Testudines; Emydidae. The record is from RefSeq and is a predicted model, not a curated record. The transcript has 4 exons.
UGGAGAUCUACUGCACAGCUGGAUGGGUGGAUUCCUGAGUCUGGGGGAUCUACCACACAGCUGAGAUCCGUUGCUCAGCCAAGCUGGACUAUUUCUUCGUACAUCCAGCUGCAUUGGCUUUGAAAUGGGCAAGAAGAAAGCUGGGCAGGGAGAUGGUGUGUCCAGGGGAUCAUGAAGGAGCUUAGCUGACAAGCCUGGUUUUAUAACACACACUGCAGUUGCCUGAGUGAACACGCAUGUGGCUGAGACUCUGGUUGGUGUGUGGCGUUGGUCCCCACUCCUGACAGUGGAAUGAGCCCCUGGCAAAAGCCAUCUCAGUGCUUGCGUUUUGCAAACAGCAGCCGCAGGAAUAAGGCCAUGCAGAGUGAUAAAUGAGCUGCUCUGCCCAGCUGCAUCCAGGGCCCCGGAAGUGGCCUCUGAUGCCUGCUGUGUGCCUGUGCAGUGAUGCACUGCAUGUGCCGGGAAUUGGAGAUUCACAUUUCCCCCUGAAAACAGAGGACUACAAACAGCGUUGGCAAGGAGCCAGAGUACAGGACCAGGAGCCAGAUCAGCCAGCGCACAGAAGUUUGAAACGUGUACCUGAGUAAGGAACAAGCAGCAAGAGCAGAUAGACUGAGAAGGAAGAAAGUUCCUGUUUUCGUGCAAAAAUCUCCACUAAAAAGAAAAAGGC